Molecule: ribosomal RNA, 548 nt
Filed under: uncultured bacterium
Lineage: Bacteria
Description: bacterial SSU rRNA
Rfam family: Bacterial small subunit ribosomal RNA
Source: RNAcentral
UGGGGAAUUUUGGACAAUGGGGGCAACCCUGAUCCAGCAAUGCCGCGUGUGUGAAGAAGGCCUUCGGGUUGUAAAGCACUUUUGUCCGGAAAGAAAUCGCGCUGGUUAAUACCUGGCGUGGAUGACGGUACCGGAAGAAUAAGCACCGGCUAACUACGUGCCAGCAGCCGCGGUAAUACAUAGGGUGCGAGCGUUAAUCGGAAUUACUGGGCGUAAAGCGUGCGCAGGCGGUUUUGUAAGACAGGCGUGAAAUCCCCGGGCUUAACCUGGGAAUUGCGCUUGUGACUGCAAGGCUAGAGUGCGUCAGAGGGGGGUAGAAUUCCACGUGUAGCAGUGAAAUGCGUAGAGAUGUGGAGGAAUACCGAUGGCGAAGGCAGCCCCCUGGGACGUGACUGACGCUCAUGCACGAAAGCGUGGGGAGCAAACAGGAUUAGAUACCCUGGUAGUCCACGCCCUAAACGAUGUCAACUAGUUGUUGGGGAUUCAUUUUCUCAGUAACGUAGCUAACGCGUGAAGUUGACCGCCUGGGGAGUACGGUCGCAAGAUUA